RNAcentral lists this ribosomal RNA (275 nucleotides) under uncultured bacterium. Its description in RNAcentral is "partial 16S ribosomal RNA". It matches the Rfam family "Bacterial small subunit ribosomal RNA", at positions 338 to 605 of the family's 1533-position model. The record is from RNAcentral.
CCUACGGGAGGCAGCAGUGGGGAAUUUUGGACAAUGGGGGCAACCCUGAUCCAGCCAUGCCGCGUGAGUGAAGAAGGCCUUCGGGUUGUAAAGCUCUUUCGGCCGGGAAGAAAUCGCACAGGUUAAUACCCUGUGUGGAUGACGGUACCGGAAUAAGAAGCACCGGCUAACUACGUGCCAGCAGCCGCGGUAAUACGUAGGGUGCGAGCGUUAAUCGGAAUUACUGGGCGUAAAGCGUGCGCAGGCGGUUUUUUAAGAUAGGCGUGAAAUCCCCG